ACCUCUGCUUCUCUAUCUAGAAAAUUAAUUAGUCUACGCGCUACACGCAACAAUCACCUACGUCUCACUCUCACCUCGCUGAUCAUCUCGUCACCAACGCCAUGGCCAUUUGCGGUCACCAUCGGCAAGGCCUUCACCUUGAUCAUUACCACCACCUUUUUCUUCCAGCGGCACGACCUGUUGUGCCCUCCUCUUCUUGCCGUCGUUCAGGCGCACGCCAAACAGCUUCACCGGCGCCUCAUCGUCGUCGCCGCGGCGUGGCCUCCACGUCUGUGCCGCCGAGGCGUCGUCGGCAGAGCCGAGCUCCACCAGCCUGCAGCUGGCGGCGGUCGUCGUCGUCCCCGGCGGUGGCGGCGGCACCGGCUCCACGUGGUUCUGCAGGAAGUAUAUGAUGUCGUUGUAGAGCCGCCUCAUGUGGGCCAGCUCCGACAGCAGCAGCGAGUUGCGCCGCCGGAGCUCCCGGUUGUCCUCCGACAGGGUCGCCAGGAAGUCCUUAUUCCCGCCGUGGCCGUGGUCUUCCUCCUGGACGACGUGGUAGCCCGACGUAGGAUGCCGAGGCGGCUGCGGCGGCGGAAAGAAGAGGCUGAGGUCGUAAGGCCGCUGGUGCUGAGGGAGCGGCGGUGGCUGCAGCUUCUGCGGCGGUUGCGAGCACGACGAGGACUUCCUCCGGUGGAUCUCCGAGAGGAGGUGCUUAGCGCCCUUCCUGAAGAACUCGUUGGCGAACUCCCACCUGUCUGCCACGAUCUUCCUGAAACCCUGCAAAAAAAAAUGC
This 772-nucleotide unclassified non-coding RNA is filed under the name Zea mays. RNAcentral's name for it is "misc RNA Zm00001eb017890". The record is from RNAcentral. Lineage: Eukaryota; Viridiplantae; Streptophyta; Magnoliopsida; Poales; Poaceae.